This 597-nucleotide ribosomal RNA is filed under the name uncultured bacterium. Its description in RNAcentral is "bacterial SSU rRNA". It matches the Rfam family "Bacterial small subunit ribosomal RNA", at positions 338 to 955 of the family's 1533-position model. The record is from RNAcentral.
CCUACGGGAGGCAGCAGUGGGGAAUAUUGGACAAUGGGCGAAAGCCUGAUCCAGCAAUGCCGCGUGAGUGAUGAAGGCCUUCGGGUCGUAAAGCUCUUUUACCAGGGAUGAUAAUGACAGUACCUGGAGAAUAAGCUCCGGCUAACUCCGUGCCAGCAGCCGCGGUAAUACGGAGGGAGCUAGCGUUGUUCGGAAUUACUGGGCGUAAAGAGUACGUAGGCGGUUAUUCAAGUCAGAGGUGAAAGCCCGGGGCUCAACCCCGGAACUGCCUUUGAAACUAGAUAACUAGAGUCUUGGAGAGGUUAGUGGAAUUCCGAGUGUAGAGGUGAAAUUCGUAGAUAUUCGGAAGAACACCAGUGGCGAAGGCGACUAACUGGACAAGUACUGACGCUGAGGUACGAAAGCGUGGGGAGCAAACAGGAUUAGAUACCCUGGUAGUCCACGCCGUAAACGAUGAUAACUAGUUGUUCGGUCACUUGGUGACUGAGUGACGCAGCUAACGCAUUAAGUUAUCCGCCUGGGGAGUACGGUCGCAAGAUUAAAACUCAAAAGUAUAAGUAGACGNGAGAGNGCGACGACGACACGACGGAGGUAGAG